GGUUAAAAUAGUAAUUAAUUUCGAUCAUUCUUGGAUUGUUUUUACGUCGCUUACAUUUCAACAACAUCUCAGGACAUGUUAGAGGACAUUUACAGGUGUUUAUAGUUAAAAUAUUAAUAAUUUAACCGUGAGAAAUAUGGCGUAUGCUCACCGUCUGACGAAGCCAGCAAAAGGGGAGGAGGGAGCGCAGCGCGAGGGCCUAGUAGAAACGUUGUGGUGAGUUCACGUGAAGUCAGAAAUUCCAGUGCUUGAUUAAAGACAGGUAAAAUGUGAGUGUUGAAUUAGUAAAUGUGAAGCUGAAAUUAGUUUUAAGUUUUUAAAGCUAAAACAAGUGUUUCAAUUAGUUUAAAAUGGUGGAAAGGUAAACUGAAAUACAGCUAAUAUAGUUAAACUGAAGUGUUAUUGUUAAAGCAGUAUCUAACGUAAUAACAAAGCUGAAUUAAACAAUUUAAGUAUUUAAAGCUCAAACUGAACAUUAAAGCUGCUGAACUGUUUCAUUCUUUUUUUUUUAUUAAUUGUAAAAGGCUGAAAGAACUGAGUUUUGGCAGUUGGAACACAGUCCAUCAUGUGGCUGAGCACCAAAGAGAUGCUUCAUUUUCUGAUCUCUUCUACCUUCAUCUCUAGUCUGUGUGGGUUCUUGCUGUGUGGUUACUCCAGCUUCCUUCUACUGUCCAAAUACAUGCAUGUUAGGUUAAUUGUUGACUCUAAACACUGUCUAGGAGUGAAUUACUUUGUCUCUGUGUUGGUCCUGUGAUGGAUUUGUAAGCUUGUCAGCGUGGACUCUGCCUUUCAACUUUGAAUUGGCUCCAACACCUAACAACGAUGAAUCAGAUAAUAAAGCUAUAAGCCCCGAGAAGCCGUGGGUUACAGGGAUUUUACAACGGCAGAGGGGUGUGCUAAGGCCCGACGCGAACCUUUAAAAAGGUGCUCCUCCAGGGGCUGCCACAUUUUUUCCUCAAUGAAAAAUUUCCCACCCAUACUUAAUGCAACCUCCAGCAGGCCUUCUUUGUUUGUCUCCAAAACCCCAAUGACUUUCACGGCCAUGGCAUCAACUGGAACACUUAAAUUCUGUGGAACACAUAACAUAUACACAUUUCACACCUUCAUGAAGAUAAAAAUUAUAUACACACACACAUCAGGAUUAUAUAUAUAUAUAUAUAUAUACCUGAUCUCUGACGUCUGAUAUUUGAUGGAGGACUUCUGAUAGCAGGUAUCACGUCUCAGAUGUCAGGUAGCUGAUAACUGCUAUCUGACCUCUGACUUCUGAUAACUGCUAUCUGACUUCUGAUAACUGCUAUCUGACUUCUGAUAACUGCUAUCUGACCUCUGACUUCUGAUAACUGCUAUCUGAAUUUAUUUAUUUAUUUAUUUAUGGAGCUGAAGUCAACACCUGAAGUUUUAAAAGUACAAAUAGCAGAGGAGGACAGACAGACAGUCCUGGAAAACUGUUCCCCACUUUUCUGUCUGUCUGUCUGUCCUCCUUGCAUGUCUCCUGCUCUUGUUCUUUCUUAACUUAUCCAGGACUGUCUCUCUGUCCUCCGUAGGAGGAUUUAAAUACUCGACACAUUACCAUCAACCAAUAGUAAGGUGAAGUUUUCAUAUAUGAGUAUAUGUACGUCAGACACUGUACUGACUGAUUUAUCUGGUCAGGACGUCUCUUUCUGCAGCCCUGAAGAGGCGAGCAGGGCUAGAGGACCAUGAUCCAGACAUUAUCAGAGCAGGACACCAGUGUACGGUAGGAUUGCAGGUUCUUUUGUCUUCAGACACUCUUUGUGAGCAGUGGCAGUGCAGUUUCAUUCCAACCAGUCUGCUGGAGCACCGCCCACCCAGCUGGAGCACC
Long non-coding RNA from Melanotaenia boesemani (Boeseman's rainbowfish), 1840 nucleotides. RefSeq lists it as uncharacterized. The record is from RefSeq and is a predicted model, not a curated record. The transcript has 3 exons. Lineage: Eukaryota; Metazoa; Chordata; Actinopteri; Atheriniformes; Melanotaeniidae.